This 77-nucleotide transfer RNA is filed under the name Acetivibrio clariflavus. RNAcentral describes it as "tRNA-Arg". It matches the Rfam family "tRNA". Rfam says of the family: Transfer RNA (tRNA) molecules are approximately 80 nucleotides in length. Their secondary structure includes four short double-helical elements and three loops (D, anti-codon, and T loops). Further hydrogen bonds mediate the characteristic L-shaped molecular structure. tRNAs have two regions of fundamental functional importance: the anti-codon, which is responsible for specific mRNA codon recognition, and the 3' end, to which the tRNAs corresponding amino acid is attached (by aminoacyl-tRNA synthetases). tRNAs cope with the degeneracy of the genetic code in two manners: having more than one tRNA (with a specific anti-codon) for a particular amino acid; and 'wobble' base-pairing, i.e. permitting non-standard base-pairing at the 3rd anti-codon position. Lineage: Bacteria; Bacillati; Bacillota; Clostridia; Acetivibrionales; Acetivibrionaceae. The record is from RNAcentral. RNAcentral also lists the same sequence under 1 other name.
GCGCCCGUAGCUCAGCAGGAUAGAGCGUCGGUUUCCUAAACCGCAGGUCGGAGGUUCGAAUCCUCUUGGGCGCACCA